CGUAAACGGACGGGAAAGCGGGAUCGUCGACCCGUGCUACUAGAUGGGCCUAUAUCAGAUUAGCUAGUUGGUAAGGUAAUGGCUUACCAAGGCGACGAUCUGUAGCUGGUUUGAGAGAAUGAUCAGCCACACUGGGACUGAGACACGGCCCAG
This 153-nucleotide ribosomal RNA is filed under the name uncultured bacterium. RNAcentral describes it as "partial 16S ribosomal RNA". It matches the Rfam family "Bacterial small subunit ribosomal RNA", at positions 189 to 334 of the family's 1533-position model. The record is from RNAcentral.